Molecule: ribosomal RNA, 468 nt
Filed under: uncultured bacterium
Lineage: Bacteria
Description: partial 16S ribosomal RNA
Rfam family: Bacterial small subunit ribosomal RNA
Source: RNAcentral
GACGAACGCUGGCGGCGUGCUUAACACAUGCAAGUCGAACGGAAAGGCCCUGCUUUUGUGGGGUGCUCGAGUGGCGAACGGGUGAGUAACACGUGAGUAACCUGCCCUUGACUUUGGGAUAACUUCAGGAAACUGGGGCUAAUAUCGGACAGGAUCUCCUGCUGCAUGGUGGGGGUGGGAAAGUUUCGGCGGUUGGGGAUGGACUCGCGGCUUAUCAGCUUGUUGGUGGGGUAGUGGCUUACCAAGGCUUUGACGGGUAGCCGGCCUGAGAGGGUGACCGGCCACAUUGGGACUGAGAUACGGACCAGACUCCUACGGGAGGCAGCAGUGGGGAAUAGUGCACAAUGGGCGGAAGCCUGAUGCAGCAACGCCGCGUGCGGGAUGACGGCCUUCGGGUUAUAAACCGCUUUCGCCUGUGACGAAGCGUGAGUGACGGUAAUGGGUAAAGAAGCACCGGCUAACUACGUG